This is a non-coding RNA of Canis lupus familiaris (dog), 94 nucleotides long. Lineage: Eukaryota; Metazoa; Chordata; Mammalia; Carnivora; Canidae. The record is from Rfam.
AGGAGGAACAGCCCCAGUGGCGGGGCAGCUCUGGAAACCUGGGUUCAGCUCCGGCAGGAACUCCGUCUGCAGGGCCUGGAGGCUCCGGGGCGGG